Salmo salar (Atlantic salmon) is the source of this 54-nucleotide non-coding RNA. The record is from Rfam. Lineage: Eukaryota; Metazoa; Chordata; Actinopteri; Salmoniformes; Salmonidae.
UGCACUCCCAACUGUAAGUAACUCUGGAUAAGAGUGUCUGCUAAAUGCCUCAAC